Molecule: long non-coding RNA, 1103 nt
Filed under: Homo sapiens (human)
Lineage: Eukaryota; Metazoa; Chordata; Mammalia; Primates; Hominidae
Description: HSALNT0381519
Source: RNAcentral
AGUAAGAACCCGGGACACCAAGAUCUGAGGAGGGUCCCUGGCUGGCAACACUCCCUGCGUGCCGGGAGGAGUGAAGGGAGAGGACAGCUGAUAACUGGUCUCCGUGGAGCCUUCCGGGCCCUCUUCCUGGCUGCUUCCAGCGCGUCCUUCUCUGUGAUAAGCCGUGACUGUGAACAUGGCUGUGAGUCCUUCUAGAGAACUCGCAAGUAUGCCAAGGUCUUGGGGGCCCUACUGACUUGCAGCUGGUGUUGGAUGGAGCCCCACAUGGACUGUCCCUCCUUGCUGCGCCAUGGCCUCCCCACCGUGGGUCACACUGGUUUUCGGGGGCUAAGCAGCGGUUUUCCCUCCGCUUCCUCCUGGCUUCCCCGCUCCCCUGCCUCCUCCCCUCCCCCGUCGCAGCCCCGUCAGGCUCACCCAGAACUCUUCCAGCAGGGCCACCGCCUCCUCCCAGCUUAGCGGCUGACGGCUGCACACCCAGGCCUGCGUGUCGGCUGGCAGCGCGCUCAGAAACUGCUCCAGCACCAGCAGCUCCAGCAUCUGCUCCUUGGUGUGCACCUCGGGCCGCAGCCGGUCCCGGCACAGGGCGCGUAGCAGCCCCAGCGCCUCGUGCGGGCCCGGCGCCUCGCCCAGGUGGAAGCGGCGGAAGCGGUGCCACGAGGAGCCCAGCGCCAGGCCCUCGGCCUCCUGCUUCAGCGGCACCGUCAGCUCCAUGGGGCCUCCUGGACGGCAGCGCCUGCCCCGCGUGGCCCAGGGUGCAAAGAGGUCUCUGUGAGGGGCGGCGCUCACUCGGGCGGUGAGGAAAGGGUGUCUGUCUCGUGGGAUCCCACGGAGUCAAGUGCCGGCUCUGCCCCUCGUUGGGCCCCUUCCGCGGCUUCUGUACCUCAGUCCUGCAGCUCCUCCCGCAGCCUGUCCUACAGCACAAAGGCUCUGGAGCAAAUUCCAGCUCUGCCUCCCACCAGCUCUGUGUCCUUGGACAAGAGGGAAUGCAGUAUGGCAGCAUUUUCUUUGGAACAAAUUAAGAAGAUAGUAACAAAUAACAGAAGAAAUACUUCUACACAUAUAUUUUCCAUGGGCAAUAAACAGAUAAGUAUAUAAUUAUGAAA